UACGGGGGGGGCAAGCGUUGUUCGGAAUUACUGGGCGUAAAGGGCUCGUAGGUGGCCAACUAAGUCGGACGUGAAAUCCCUCGGCUUAACCGGGGAACUGCAUCUGAUACUGGAUGGCUUGAGAUUGGGAGAGGGAUGCGGAAUUCCAGGUGUAGCGGUGAAAUGCGUAGAUAUCUGGAGGAACACCGGUGGCGAAGGCGGCAUCCUGGACCAACACUGACGCUGAGGAGCGAAAGCCAGGGGAGCAAACGGG
Molecule: ribosomal RNA, 253 nt
Filed under: uncultured bacterium
Lineage: Bacteria
Description: partial 16S ribosomal RNA
Rfam family: Bacterial small subunit ribosomal RNA
Source: RNAcentral